Molecule: ribosomal RNA, 242 nt
Filed under: uncultured bacterium
Lineage: Bacteria
Description: partial 16S ribosomal RNA
Rfam family: Bacterial small subunit ribosomal RNA
Source: RNAcentral
AGAGUUUGAUCAUGGCUCAGGAUGAACGCUAGCGACAGGCUUAACACAUGCAAGUCGAGGGGCAGCGAUGAUUUGUAGCAAUACAGAUUGAUGGCGACCGGCGCACGGGUGAGUAACGCGUAUGCGAACUUACCUAUCAGAGGGGGAUAGCCCGGCGAAAGUCGGAUUAAUACCCCAUAAAACAGGGGUCCCGUAUGGGAAUAUUUAGUUAAAGAUUCAUCGCUGAUAGAUAGGCAUGCGUU